AGCGAACGCUGGCGGCAGGCUUAACACAUGCAAGUCGAGCGGGCACUUUCGGGUGUCAGCGGCGGACGGGUGAGUAACGCGUGGGAACGUGCCCUCUGGUUCGGAAUAACUCAGGGAAACUUGAGCUAAUACCGGAUACGCCCUUUUGGGGAAAGGCUUGCUGCCGGAGGAUCGGCCCGCGUCUGAUUCGCUAGUUGGUGAGGUAACGGCUCACCAAGGCGACGAUCAGUAGCUGGUCUGAGAGGAUGAUCAGCCACACUGUGACUGGGACACGGCCCAGACUCCUACGGGAGGCAGCAGUGGGGAAUAUUGGACAAUGGGCGCAAGCCUGAUCCAGCCAUGCCGCGUGAGUGAUGAAGGCCUUAGGGUUGUAAAGCUCUUUUAUCCGGGACGAUAAUGACGGUACCGGAGGAAUAAGCCCCGGCUAACUUCGUG
RNAcentral lists this ribosomal RNA (435 nucleotides) under uncultured bacterium. Its description in RNAcentral is "partial 16S ribosomal RNA". It matches the Rfam family "Bacterial small subunit ribosomal RNA", at positions 29 to 507 of the family's 1533-position model. The record is from RNAcentral.